CCUACGGGAGGCAGCAGUGAGGAAUAUUGGUCAAUGGGCGGAAGCCUGAACCAGCCAAGUCGCGUGAGGGAAUAAGGCCCUACGGGUCGUAAACCUCUUUUGCCGGGGAGCAAGGGCGGGGACGUGUCCCGGCCCGGAGAGUACCCGGAGAAAAAGCAUCGGCUAACUCCGUGCCAGCAGCCGCGGUAAUACGGAGGAUGCGAGCGUUAUCCGGAUUUAUUGGGUUUAAAGGGUGCGUAGGCGGGCUUUUAAGUCAGCGGUAAAGAUUCGGGGCUCAACCCCGUCCGGCCGUUGAAACUGGGGGCCUUGAGUGGGCGAGAAGAAGGCGGAAUGCGUGGUGUAGCGGUGAAAUGCAUAGAUAUCACGCAGAACCCCGAUUGCGAAGGCAGCCUGCCGGCGCCCUACUGACGCUGAGGCACGAAAGUGCGGGGAUCGAACAGGAUUAGAUACCCGAGUAGUC
This 460-nucleotide ribosomal RNA is filed under the name uncultured bacterium. RNAcentral's name for it is "partial 16S ribosomal RNA". It matches the Rfam family "Bacterial small subunit ribosomal RNA", at positions 338 to 795 of the family's 1533-position model. The record is from RNAcentral.